Molecule: long non-coding RNA, 1375 nt
Filed under: Phoenix dactylifera (date palm)
Lineage: Eukaryota; Viridiplantae; Streptophyta; Magnoliopsida; Arecales; Arecaceae
Description: long non-coding RNA (PDAC_LNC014203)
Source: RNAcentral
AUAAAUGUUGAGUUGUUGUUUGUUUUUGAGGCGAGAACUUCGUAAAAGCAGCAUGAUUCAUUAUAUAAGAGUUGAUAUUAAUAUGAGAUCAAGUGACAUGAUAAUAUUAAUCUUUGUUUGUUAUCUUUUUUAGGAAAAAUAAUUAAAUUAUCUUUACUAAAUUUUGAUCAUUUUUUAUUGAAUUUUUUAAGUAUAUACCCUCCAAAAUAUGCUUGAUUGUAUGAAUAUCUUGCAAAGUUGUUACUUGCAUAUGUAUCCUUAUAAAGUUUUUUUUUUGGGCAUCUACUUGUAAGAAUAUUUCAGUAUUUUAAUUUUAAAUUGUUUAUUUUUUAACAGCGUUAGAUAGUAUGGAUACAUAUAUAAAAAAAUAAAAAAAGAAUCUACAAGAAAAAUAAGUAUUUUAUAAGGAUAUAUAUGUAAAUAGCAAUUUUACAAAGAUAUUUAUACAAUUUGGUAUAUUUUAGAGGGUAUGCAAAUAAGUAUUUUAUAAGGAUAUAUAUGUAUGCCUUGUGUAAAGUUUAGUUCGGGAGAACAAGAAGAAAAGUAAAAUGGUUUAAUAUGAAAUUUCCAUGUUCCUGGAAUGGUAUGAAUUCAACAAAAUUUUCUAUCUUAACUUUAUAAAUAUUUGAGAAAUGAUUACUUAGAAGUAUAUGCAUGUAGAUAUGAAAUGAUUACUGAACAGUCUCUAAGUUACAAGCUUCCUGUGAAGUCAUGAUGGCAGCUAACUUCAAGUUAGGGGGCUUAUAUUUGACCAAAAUUAACCAGAACUCCUGUUUGAGGCAUUAAUUACUUAGUUUCAAGAUACCAGCUUUGUGUAAAAUCUGCAGACUACCUAUUUCAACUCGUGCAAGCUAUGCAUGCAAGAUUAACAAUCUUUCCCUGCUUUAAAAUGAAAUUAUUUGUGUUUGAGAAGAUAGAAUGAAAUCAUUUAAAAAUCCAAAGCUAGAAGAAUCAUGCAAGAUCAACAUUCAACACUAGACAACCACUUGAUGAAAAUUGAGCUAGGUCUUUAUAUAAAACUUCAAGAUAAUUAGAAUUAAUAUUCUUCGGAGUUGGGAUCCUAAUACAUAGAUACCAACUUCUUAUCCAAAUCUUAUCUUCUACAUUUUUGACAAUGCAAUUAAACAUUAAUCAUAUUAAACACAUCAUAUCUUCUUUCAGAGAAAUGCACACACACACACACACACACAGAGACCUUAUAAUAUCUAAGAGAUGACCAAGCACCCUAAUAUCACAGAUCAUCCAGCACUCUUAAUUCAUAAUUUAUCUACAAAUACAGCAACAAGCUUCCAAAUUAAGGUCGACUGCAAAAGGAUCUUACUGCUGUCCUCAUUCAACAUUUACAAUAUUAUAAUAGCAAACCAUACAUUAACAG